This is a long non-coding RNA of Aquila chrysaetos chrysaetos, 99 nucleotides long. RefSeq lists it as uncharacterized. Lineage: Eukaryota; Metazoa; Chordata; Aves; Accipitriformes; Accipitridae. The record is from RefSeq and is a predicted model, not a curated record. The transcript has 3 exons.
GACACCUGGGAGAAGAGAUCAGCACUUCCCUCUUCACUUCCCCUCCUCAGGAAGCUGUAGAGAGCAAUGAGGUCAGCCCUCAGCCUCUUUUUCUCCAAA